This 253-nucleotide ribosomal RNA is filed under the name uncultured bacterium. RNAcentral describes it as "partial 16S ribosomal RNA". It matches the Rfam family "Bacterial small subunit ribosomal RNA", at positions 524 to 776 of the family's 1533-position model. The record is from RNAcentral.
UACGUAGGGGGCAAGCGUUGUCCGGAAUCAUUGGGCGUAAAGCGAGCGUAGGCGGCCCGAUAAGUCUGCUGUAAAAGUCAACGGCUCAACCGUUGAACGCCGGUGGAUACUGUCGGGCUAGAGUUCGGAAGAGGCAAGUGGAAUUCCUGGUGUAGCGGUGGAAUGCGCAGAUAUCAGGAGGAACACCUAUAGCGAAGGCAGCUCGCUGGGACGUUACUGACACUGAGGCGCGAAAGCGUGGGGAGCGAACAGG